UUCAAUGUCAUCAGUGUAAUCGAUGUUCACAAAGUCUACCCUCGUCAGGCAUCUUGCUAUGUCUUGAUCAAUCAACGCCCUCCUUUGGCGCAUAGUCGCUGCUUGUUCCUGUCGGAUCAUUUCGGCCCUCUCCUGGGUUGUAGCCUGUCUGUGAUUGGUCACCAGACCAGAUCUUUGACGGCAUAGGUCCUUAAUAGGGUUUCAACUGAUCAACAUGCAGGACUAAUAUUGUUUGCGAUGGAGGGGGUCCCACUAUCAAAUACAAGGAAGUAUCAACCUCACGUCCCAGCAUCUAGAGAUUUGGAGGGCAAUCAGUACUAAUCCCUGUUUCCGUUGGACACACAGAUCACAUUGACACACCCAUAAUGCUAAAUUUGUGUAAAACUUUGGCCAAUAAAAUCAACACUUGAUUGCUUCAAUCGUCCUAUCCCUACCAAGAUGACAAGAUUAUCUUUGACAGUGCAGAUGCUCAAAUAUCUCAGUUCUAAUUUCAAGGAGAGCUGCCAGACACAACGAGUUGGAAACUUAUUCCUCGACUAAUGUUUAGUCAAAUAUUACA
Dreissena polymorpha is the source of this 559-nucleotide long non-coding RNA. RefSeq lists it as uncharacterized. The record is from RefSeq and is a predicted model, not a curated record. The transcript has 4 exons. Lineage: Eukaryota; Metazoa; Mollusca; Bivalvia; Myida; Dreissenidae.